Molecule: ribosomal RNA, 497 nt
Filed under: uncultured bacterium
Lineage: Bacteria
Description: partial 16S ribosomal RNA
Rfam family: Bacterial small subunit ribosomal RNA
Source: RNAcentral
GAUGAACGCUGACGGCGUGCCUAAUACAUGCAAGUCGAGCGAACAGACGAGGAGCUUGCUCCUCUGACGUUAGCGGCGGACGGGUGAGUAACACGUGGAUAACCUACCUAUAAGACUGGGAUAACUUCGGGAAACCGGAGCUAAUACCGGAUAAUAUUUUGAACCGCAUGGUUCAAUAGUGAAAGACGGUUUUGCUGUCACUUAUAGAUGGAUCCGCGCCGCAUUAGCUAGUUGGUAAGGUAACGGCUUACCAAGGCAACGAUGCGUAGCCGACCUGAGAGGGGGAUUGGCCCAACUGGGACUGAGAAACGGUCCAGACUCCCAAGGGGGGCAGGCGGAGGGAAAUUUUCGGAAUUGGGGGAAAGCCGAAGGGGGAAAGGCGGGGGAGGUAUGAAAGGUCUCCGAUUCGAAAAACCUUGUAAUAGGGAAAAAACAUUGGUGUAAGUAACAGUGAAGUUCUUAAGGGAACCAAAGAGAAAGGCCCCGCUUACCUCCUG